RNAcentral lists this ribosomal RNA (492 nucleotides) under uncultured bacterium. RNAcentral describes it as "partial 16S ribosomal RNA". It matches the Rfam family "Bacterial small subunit ribosomal RNA", at positions 29 to 507 of the family's 1533-position model. The record is from RNAcentral.
AGUGAACGCUGGCGGUAGGCCUAACACAUGCAAGUCGAACGGUAGCACAGUAAGGGCUUGCUCUUACGGGAGGCGAGUGGCGGGCGGGUGAGGAAUACGUCGGAAUCUACUUUUUCGGGGGGGAUAAAGUAGGGAAAGUUACGCUAAUACCGCAUACGACCUACGGGAGAAAGCAGGGGAUCUUCGGACCUUGCGCGAUUGUAUGCGCCGAUGUGGGAUUAGCUAGUUGGUGGGGUAAGGGCACACCGAGGCGACGAUCCGUAGCUGGUCUGAGAGGAUGACCAGCCACACUGGAACUGGGACACGGUCCAGACUCCUACGGGAGGCAGCAGUGGGGAAUAUUGGACAAUGGGCGCAAGCCUGAUCCAGCCAUGCCGCGUGUGUGAAGAAGGCCUUCGGGUUGUAAAGCCCUUUUGUUGGGGAGGAAAAGCAUCAGGUUAAUACCCCGCUGUUCUGACGUUACCCAAAGAAGAAGCACCGGCUAACUUCGUG